UACGAACUGUGCAAACGUUAUUCGGAAUCACUGGGCUUAAAGGGUGCGUAGGCGGCUAUUUAAGUAGGGUGUGAAAUCCCCCGGCUCAACCGGGGAACUGCGCUCUAAACUGGAUGGCUUGAGUGAGAUAGGGGUGUGUGGAACUUCCGGUGGAGCGGUGAAAUGUGUUGAUAUCGGAAGGAACGCCGGUGGCGAAAGCGACACACUGGGUCUCAACUGACGCUGAGGCACGAAAGCCAGGGGAGCGAACGGG
Molecule: ribosomal RNA, 253 nt
Filed under: uncultured bacterium
Lineage: Bacteria
Description: partial 16S ribosomal RNA
Rfam family: Bacterial small subunit ribosomal RNA
Source: RNAcentral